AACAGCAAUUCUGAGGGGAAACUUUGAGAGAGAAAAUAUAAGAUCCUGAGUAGAAGAUAAGGGUUUCUAGAAGAUAAGGGGUUAUCAAGUAUUUGAGACAGGAAGAUCUGUUGACUAAGAGACUGGAAGGAGAACAGCAUGGCAACUUUCUGCUAUCAAUUAGCGAGCCUCAUCGAUCAAUGUGGGUGAGAAUGAAUUAAGAGAGUUAAGAAAGCAGACAGAGAAAAGAUAACUCGGUGAUGCAGGUUAGAGGAACAGCCAGGAAGUGACUUGCCACAUCAACGGCAAAAACGAAAGGCGCAGAAGAGGAUAAGCAGGCACAGCUCUGGGCGUUCAGUUCAUGUUGCUGCCUCAGUGGGGAGCAGGAGAAGAGAGCUGCACGCUCCGACGCCUUCUGCCUGCCGCCCCCUCUGACCUGCGGGCGAGAGGCACCAGCUGCUGCUCCAGAAUCUUCGGAACGUUCCCCGGCGCUGCUUGGAGCGCGGAGGGCGCCAAGCAAGAUCAAGCUAAAAGUUGACUGCUACUGUGAAAAGUAUUGCUGGCACAAUCUAAAGCCACAUAGUGCAGUUUUAAAGGGAAGAAGGAAGAGCAAAAAAGGUCCAGUUCUAUGGCCAUAGUGCUGCUCUGGAUAGUAAUUAUAAU
Hemicordylus capensis (graceful crag lizard) is the source of this 642-nucleotide long non-coding RNA. RefSeq lists it as uncharacterized. The record is from RefSeq and is a predicted model, not a curated record. The transcript is spliced from 4 exons. NCBI's taxonomy places the organism in Eukaryota, Metazoa, Chordata, Lepidosauria, Squamata, Cordylidae.